CCUACGGGAGGCAGCAGUGGGGAAUAUUGCACAAUGGGGGAAACCCUGAUGCAGCGACGCCGCGUGAGUGAAGAAGUAUUUCGGUAUGUAAAGCUCUAUCAGCAGGGAGGAAAAUGACGGUACCUGAUUCAGAAGCCCCGGCUAACUACGUGCCAGCAGCCGCGGUAAUACGUAGGGGGCAAGCGUUAUCCGGAUUUACUGGGUGUAAAGGGAGCGUAGACGGCAGCACAAGUCUGGAGUGAAAUGCCGGGGCUUAACCCCGGAACUGCUUUGGAAACUGUGCAGCUAGAGUGCAGGAGAGGUAAGUGGAAUUCCUAGUGUAGCGGUGAAAUGCGUAGAGAUUAGGAGGAACACCAGUGGCGAAGGCGGCUUACUGGACUGUAACUGACGUUGAGGCUCGAAAGCGUGGGGAGCAAACAGGAUUAGAUACCCCUGUAGUC
Molecule: ribosomal RNA, 440 nt
Filed under: uncultured bacterium
Lineage: Bacteria
Description: partial 16S ribosomal RNA
Rfam family: Bacterial small subunit ribosomal RNA
Source: RNAcentral